RNAcentral lists this ribosomal RNA (497 nucleotides) under uncultured bacterium. RNAcentral describes it as "partial 16S ribosomal RNA". It matches the Rfam family "Bacterial small subunit ribosomal RNA", at positions 28 to 507 of the family's 1533-position model. The record is from RNAcentral.
GAUGAACGCUGGCGGCGUGCCUAAUACAUGCAAGUCGAGCGAACGGACGAGAAGCUUGCUUUUCUGAUGUUAGCGGCGGACGGGUGAGUAACACGUGGAUAACCUACCUAUAAGACUGGGAUAACUUCGGGAAACCGGAGCUAAUACCGGAUAAUAUUUUGAACCGCAUGGUUCAAAAGUGAAAGACGGUCUUGCUGUCACUUAUAGAUGGAUCCGCGCUGCAUUAGCUAGUUGGUAAGGUAACGGCUUACCAAGGCAACGAUGCAUAGCCGACCUGAGAGGGUGAUCGCCCACACGAGAACUGAAACACGGUCCAGACUCCUACGGGAGGCAGCAGUAGGGAAUCUUCCGCAAUGGGCGAAAGCCUGACGGAGCAACGCCGCGUGAGUGAUGAAGGUCUUCGGAUCGUAAAACUCUGUUAUUAGGGAAGAACAUAUGUGUAAGUAACUGUGCACAUCUUGACGGUACCUAAUCAGAAAGCCACGGCUAACUACGUG